CUGUCUCAGAAUCACCUGCUCCUGUGUCCCCUACCCCACCUUCCCUAGUGUCCCCUGUCUCAGAAUCACCUGCUCCAGUGUCCCCUACCCCAGAGCCACCUGCCCCAGUGUCCCCUGUCUCAGAAUCACCUGCUCCUGUGUCCCCUACCCCACCUUCCCUAGUGUCCCCUGUCUCAGAAUCACCUGCUCCAGUGUCCCCUACCCCAGAGCCACCUUCCCCGGUGUCCCCUGUCCCAGAAUCAACUGUUCCAGUGUCUGCUGUAACAGCGAUCGCAGUGAAAACAGAACUUAAACCUGAACCUGAUCAUGAAGAAGAACCUGAAUCCGAACCAGAACCAGAGCCAGAAUCUAAACUGUCUCCAAAGCCGAGCUCCAGUGUUGGCACGCUCACCGCCUUUUACGACACUCUCAUUUCUUUUGACACAAGUUCAACCAGUUUCAAGGAUAAUGAGCCUGAGCUGGCAAAAGAAGAAGGAGGCUCGGCAAACAG
Xiphias gladius (swordfish) is the source of this 490-nucleotide long non-coding RNA. RefSeq lists it as uncharacterized. NCBI's taxonomy places the organism in Eukaryota, Metazoa, Chordata, Actinopteri, Istiophoriformes, Xiphiidae. The record is from RefSeq and is a predicted model, not a curated record. The transcript is spliced from 3 exons.